GUAACGCAAACGGGGGAGGAAGCGGAGUAGCAAACCUUUUGAGCCUACGAACAGAAACCUGAUAUAAGGCUAAAUGGCGGAUAAGGCUGCAAGCCAAGCCAAAGUCCAAAGGGUAAACGUAACGCCAAGACAGUAAAUCAGGAGGUUGUGAAGGGAAAGAUUA
RNAcentral lists this non-coding RNA (163 nucleotides) under uncultured Ruminococcus sp. The record is from RNAcentral. Lineage: Bacteria; Bacillati; Bacillota; Clostridia; Eubacteriales; Oscillospiraceae.